RNAcentral lists this ribosomal RNA (253 nucleotides) under bacterium. RNAcentral's name for it is "partial 16S ribosomal RNA". It matches the Rfam family "Bacterial small subunit ribosomal RNA", at positions 524 to 776 of the family's 1533-position model. The record is from RNAcentral. RNAcentral also lists the same sequence under 1 other name.
UACGGAGGGUGCAAGCGUUAUCCGGAAUCAUUGGGUUUAAAGGGUCCGUAGGCGGAUUAAUAAGUCAGAGGUGAAAUCCCACAGCUUAACUGUGGAACUGCCUUUGAUACUGUUAGUCUUGAGUUAUAUGGAAGUAGAUAGAAUGUGUAGUGUAGCGGUGAAAUGCAUAGAUAUUACACAGAAUACCGAUUGCGAAGGCAGUCUACUACGUAUAUACUGACGCUAAUGGACGAAAGCGUGGGGAGCGAACAGG